CAGUAGCACGGUAAUACGUAGGGUGCGAGCGUUAAUCGGAAUUACUGGGCGUAAAGCGUGCGCAGGCGGUUAUGUAAGACAGUUGUGAAAUCCCCGGGCUCAACCUGGGAACUGCAUCUGUGACUGCAUAGCCAGAGUACGGUAGAGGGGGAUGGAAUUCCGCGUGUAGCAGUGAAAUGCGUAGAUAUGCGGAGGAACACCGAUGGCGAAGGCAAUCCCCUGGACCUGUACUGACGCUCAUGCACGAAAGCGUGGGGAGCAAACAGGAUUAGAUACCCCUGUAGUCCCUGUCUCUUAUACC
This 301-nucleotide ribosomal RNA is filed under the name uncultured bacterium. Its description in RNAcentral is "partial 16S ribosomal RNA". It matches the Rfam family "Bacterial small subunit ribosomal RNA", at positions 509 to 808 of the family's 1533-position model. The record is from RNAcentral.